Molecule: ribosomal RNA, 253 nt
Filed under: uncultured bacterium
Lineage: Bacteria
Description: partial 16S ribosomal RNA
Rfam family: Bacterial small subunit ribosomal RNA
Source: RNAcentral
GACGUAGGGCGCGAGCGUUGUCCGGAUUUAUUGGGCGUAAAGAGCUCGUAGGCGGCUUGUCGCGUCGAAUGUGAAAACCUGCGGCUCAACUGCAGGCUUGCAUUCGAUACGGGCAGGCUCGAGUUCGGUAGGGGAGACUGGAAUUCCUGGUGUAGCGGUGAAAUGCGCAGAUAUCAGGAGGAACACCGGUGGCGAAGGCGGGUCUCUGGGCCGAUACUGACGCUGAGGAGCGAAAGCGUGGGGAGCGAACAGG